GACGAACGCUGGCGGCGUGCUUAACACAUGCAAGUCGAACGGAAAGACCCUGCUUUUGUGGGGAGCUCGAGUGGCGAACGGGUGAGUAACACGUGAGUAACCUGCCCUUGACUUUGGGAUAACUUCAGGAAACUGGGGCUAAUACCGGAUAGGAGCUCCUGCUGCAUGGUGGGGGUUGGAAAGUUUCGGCGGUUGGGGAUGGACUCGCGGCUUAUCAGCUUGUUGGUGGGGUAGUGGCUUACCAAGGCUUUGACGGGUAGCCGGCCUGAGAGGGUGACCGGCCACAUUGGGACUGAGAUACGGCCCAGACUCCUACGGGAGGCAGCAGUGGGGAAUAUUGCACAAUGGGCGGAAGCCUGAUGCAGCAACGCCGCGUGCGGGAUGACGGCCUUCGGGUUGUAAACCGCUUUCGCCUGUGACGAAGCGUGAGUGACGGUAAUGGGUAAAGAAGCACCGGCUAACUACGUG
This 468-nucleotide ribosomal RNA is filed under the name uncultured bacterium. Its description in RNAcentral is "partial 16S ribosomal RNA". It matches the Rfam family "Bacterial small subunit ribosomal RNA", at positions 28 to 507 of the family's 1533-position model. The record is from RNAcentral.